Molecule: transfer RNA, 72 nt
Filed under: Loranthus grewingkii
Lineage: Eukaryota; Viridiplantae; Streptophyta; Magnoliopsida; Santalales; Loranthaceae
Description: tRNA-Lys
Rfam family: tRNA
About the family: Transfer RNA (tRNA) molecules are approximately 80 nucleotides in length. Their secondary structure includes four short double-helical elements and three loops (D, anti-codon, and T loops).
Source: RNAcentral
GGGUUGCUAACUCAACGAUAGAGUACUCGACUUUUAGCCGACUGGUUCAGGGUUCAAGUCCCGGACAACCCA